AAAAAAUCUGAUUUCGGUUGAAGAUUCCACAACCAUCAAUACAACACAUACACCUACCACUACGACCAUUGACUCCACAAUUAUGUCAAAUAGCCGAACUUCUACCAUCACCAUCUACAUUCCUACAUGAUCAAGACUUACAAACACUAACAACAACCUACCAAUUACACAUUCAAAACACAAUAACAACCUAUUAAAUGUUCCCUGUGAUUUCAAUCAGAAUCAGCACAUAAAUUUGUGAUGUAAUCUUCACUUUGAUUAAGUCAAAUCCCAAAACAGUCUUUCGGAGUUGUUCUCCAUCCAUGAAAACUUUGUGACAGUUCUCUAACCACAAAAUUUGUAAGAAAUUCUAUGAUAUCAUGAAGAAUUUUCCAUGAUGAGGUAGAAUAAUUGGUUUUCUUUAUAGGAAUCGUUUGAAUUUGAGAGCGAUUAGGGGGUGGUUUGGAUUCUUGGUUUCCCUGAAGAGAUUGGUCUGGAAGGAAAGGUUUAUUGAUUUGGGUGGAAAUCGAUGGGUUGUUAUGGAGAAAAAAUGGAUUUAGGGUUCUUGGUGAAAUUGAAUUUUGAUUUGGGAAUAUGAAAAAAAUGUUUCUUGCCAUUUUUAAAGAGAAAAUGUUGUUUCAAAUUUGGUGAUUAAUGUCUACUUGUCAAUAUUUAACGGUGUUUGUUGCCACGAGAGAUUUCCGUCAGCCACAUGUAAUUUUUUGUCAAGGUGGAUAGAUGGAAUUGGAAGGAUGAUGGAUGGGUAAAGUUCUAUAAAAUUGAGUGAGCGUUCAGUAACCUUUUAUUUGUGAGUGAGUAAGUAGUAACCAGGUAUAAAUGUUGAUGAUGAGUUAUUUAAUUAACUCGUUAGUUUGCUAUAUAAUUUAGGACUGCUAUUUUAGUACCUUUAUCUUGAUUUCAUUUGGCCAAGUAAUGUUGUUAUCAUAGCUAAAAGAUACCUUUUAACUAAAAAAUAAGGAGGAUUAGAUAGUGUUGGACAGAAGGAGAAUAAGAUGAAAAUGAGUUUGUUACACGUAUACCAUUGUCCAAUUCAAUACUGCAUGUCAAACGCAUCCUUUUUCCGACAAUCAGUUGUGAACUAUUUGGUCAUUAAUCAAUACUGCAUGUCAAACUGCCUUGCAGAUUGUUCCAAUUAAAAAAGAGAAAAAGGAAGUUCAAGAGAAGGUUAGCAAUGAAGGCAGACCAAGCAAGGAGAAUGAAUCUAAAGCCAGUGUAAACAUAGGAAGUGGAAUCUUUGAAAAUCCUAGCAUUGGAGACGUCUUUAAGGAAGAAACUCAGGUUUCUUUGCAUUCUUUUAAUAUCUCAUGCAAGGAAGUGAUAGUUUAUCAAUUCUUUCACUCUCGAGUUUCAUUUUCUAUUGCAGGAAGUGAGUGAAGUUCAAUCAGAUUCAAAUAGAAGUUUGGAUGAUGAUGAAGAAAACUAAGUUGGGGAGAAAAUGUCACAUUGAAGUUCAUACCGGCACAAAAUUGUAACUCCCUCAACCCGAAUAAUUGCCACACCCCAACUAUUUUCUAAGGGAUUAUCGUCUAGCUGUGUAGACUCUGCCAGAAGAAUGUGACUGCCUUGUCAUUAAGAUACAGUAUUGAUAAUGGCGUGUUUCUCUUGGUGUACAAAUUAAAUGCAGUUAAGAACGAUCAUCACUACUUACUGUUGUUUUCAAG
RNAcentral lists this long non-coding RNA (1661 nucleotides) under Olea europaea subsp. europaea. The record is from RNAcentral. Lineage: Eukaryota; Viridiplantae; Streptophyta; Magnoliopsida; Lamiales; Oleaceae.